This is a long non-coding RNA of Cuculus canorus (common cuckoo), 568 nucleotides long. RefSeq lists it as uncharacterized. The transcript has 3 exons. NCBI's taxonomy places the organism in Eukaryota, Metazoa, Chordata, Aves, Cuculiformes, Cuculidae. The record is from RefSeq and is a predicted model, not a curated record.
UGAAGAGAGAUGAAGACAGCCCGUCGAAGAAAAGAUGGUAUUUUUUUCUUCGUGGGGUCAACUUGAACUAUGUUAACGUACUCUUCACCCAGCGUCUGAUAACCUAAACAACGUGUGGAACAGAACACAGGCAAGGUCAAGAAACCAAAGAAGAAUUCAAGAGACCCUUUUCUUACAAAGCUGAAAUGCUGGCUGACCUGUUAGCAUAGUUUGGAGCGCAGCUUUCACACCCGGCAAUGGGCAGAUGUUUCAGCCUCCAACCUGAAGAACAGGUUCUGCAGCCGGAAAAGGAACGAAACGUCUGUUCGGGAUUGUUAGCACCAUCCGAUUCCUUUGCCUCCUCCCACUUUGAACUUGUUACCCUGGAGCCGAACUGUUUGAAGAAGGGCUGUAAGAGCUGCUUUGUGAUCAGCGAGCUGGGAACCCUCCGCAUGCAAAGCGAAGGGCGGAGCGUUUCCUCCCAGGCUCCGCGGUGCCCUCCCCUCUUCUUUUUGUCACUUAUGAAGGUUCCGAUGCUCUGUGCAGAGAAGCCGGGACAGCUCGUCUGCACUGUCCGGAGAGAAGAGAG